UCUUCACCGUUGCGCUGGUGAUCAACGAUUACUCGAAAUUCCUUCUUCAUGUUGCCGAGUUUCAGGCAACAAUCCGGUUAAGUAUAAAUUAACAAUAGGGAUUGCGUUCGUUAGCGGAAUUAACCAAACAUCUCACGAUACGAACCGACGACAGCCAUGCAACACCUGUAAAUGAAUUGGUAAGAUUUUACGCGGAUUAUCGUAUUAAACAACAUGCUUCACUUCGUUUGCUUCGGGGCCGACUAAUUUUUUUGUUUUCACUUUUGCAAGUAUACUCACAAGGCGGAAUGGUUAACGUGUUCACAUCGAGCAGCCUACAAACCCUUUACGCCUAUUUAUGAUGACUAACGUUUGUGUAUUUGGUAUUACCGAGUCUUCUGGCACCAAUUUUAGACGACACUAAUAAUAAGGUAACGUCAUUAUCCUCCCUUACUUUAUCACAAGCUAUUGAUCGUAGGCUUGGUAGGCCAUUACCCUAUCAACUACCUA
RNAcentral lists this ribosomal RNA (489 nucleotides) under Rhizoctonia solani. RNAcentral describes it as "small subunit ribosomal RNA". Lineage: Eukaryota; Fungi; Basidiomycota; Agaricomycetes; Cantharellales; Ceratobasidiaceae. The record is from RNAcentral.